AAAAUCACGUGCACAUUCAUCAUUGUAUCUAUCCACCUCGAAUGCAAGCAGACGGGUUAUAGGCCCAUUGAACAAAGGAGAAAUCAAAACCUGAUAGCUUGCCAUUAAGCCAACUCCGUGAGAACAAUUUAACCUCCCCCAAAAAUAAUUUUGAGUUUACAGCAGUGUGAUUGAAUAUACUGUUGUUUCUCUGCUUCCAGAUGCAAUAUGUCACUGUACACCAAAUUACUUGCCAAAUUUCUCCUCAAAUCUGUUUCUAGCAGUCCCUGAAUUUUGCCAACACUUCCAAUAUUGGUCUAAUUAAGCUUCAAUUUUUCUUCAACUUAUUCAAAUAAUCAAGGUAAGUCCUUUUCUCUUUCUUUUCACUACUAUAAAAAAGCUUUUCUAAGAUAAUCAAAAACAGGAUACAACGACGGUCGUUGACCGUUGUAGAAGCCGACGUCAUGAAAAGUUAAACUUUUCAACGACGGAUCAAAAACCACCAUCUUAAAAAGGGAUCAACUUUCAAAAAUGCUGCUGACGUAACCAUCAUUUUUGAAAGUUCGCGUUCUAAGACGAUACGUGAUCAAUGCCUUAAAAAAUCAACCUUCAAAGACGAUGCUGACAUAAACACCGUCUUAAAAAACGCAUUUUCAAAGACAGUGCUUACGUCAGAAUCGUCUUUAAAAGUAAGGAAUUCCUUAUUUGGGAUAGAUGAAAUUCUCAAUCGUUUUAUACUCAUUAAUUAUCUUGUGUGUUUAGGGUGGUUGAGUUAACGCCAAUAGAUUAAAGUUCAUGCUCAAUGAAUCAAUACAUAAUCAUAAUUCCUACACAUAGACUUAGCUAUGAUAAUGGGUCUAACACCGCUCCCACUACCAUUAUCUCCUCGAGGGAUCAAGGUAUACAAUUCAAAAUCACUCUAGUAAACACAUUAUUAGAAUCUGGAUUUGGAUCUAAUUUAAUCCCUAAAAAUUAGUUUAUAAGGUGAAGAUUAUCCCCAUUUACAUAUCUUCAUAUCUUGACAUUAUCUUCAAUUGAUGUAAAAUUUGAAAUUUUCUCAAUACAUCCCUUCAUGUUCAAACAUUUUUGGGCUUUUGGGGGGAUUACAUGGUGAUUGACUAUUUUAAUGGAUCUAGAAUAGGUUUCAAUACCAUAUUAGAAUAUGCAUUUAAAUUUGACUCAACAUCCAAAAACUAACUCUUAAGAUGAAAAUUGUCUUUACUUAUAUAUUAUAUUUUAACAAUAUUUAUAGCCAAAGUGAAACUUAAUUUUUUUUUCAAUACAAUUCAUAUUUAACAUAUUAAUUCCCAAUAUCUUUUCAAUAAUGACAUGAACAAUUCCUCCUCAUACAUAUUUUAACAAAAUAUGGAAGCACUAAUAUUUUUCAUUUUCCAUAAUUCAAUAUCACAAUUCUAGCCCAAAACAUGUGCAAUUCAAAUUCAAAUGCUACCACAAUUUAAUACUAAAGGUUCAAACAUUUUUCAAUCAAUUCUCAUACUUUUUAAACUAUUCACCAGAACCAUAAAUUUAGAAUAUGUAAAAUUUUCUUGACAAUUUGCUAUCAUUAAAUACAUUAAAUAAAACUUUCCUUACCAAAGUUAACUUUACAUAUGCAUAUAUAUUUAUUAUAUUUAAGGUUUUAUUGCAUUUUGGUCUCAAAGGCUGUCAUAAUUUACAAUUUUGCUUUCUUAACUUCCAAUGGCACAAAUUGGAUCUCCUAUAUCAUAUUUGUGGAAUUUUAAUUUUAGUCCCUCUAACUUGUUAAUUAUUCAAUAGAUUUAUUGACAUAAAAAUUCUAGAUAAUGAUGUAUGAAUGACUUGACACCUCAGAGUUUUGUUGACACAUGCUGAUAUUGCUUAAUUUCAUGUACUUCUUGGCCCCUUUUGCAAUUAUGUGAUUUUGGAUCCUCAAUUAUCAAUUUUGCGAAUUGAUUCUGUCAAAUAUUACAAAGAUGUUGUUUUUUUAAUAUUAAAUAAAUAAUAUAUACAAAUACUAUUAAAGCUGAUAUUAAUAAAUUUAAAUUGAUAUUAAUUUGAAAGGUUUUACAAUUUUAAACUAAGUUAUAUUUAUUAAUUUAUAUUUAUCAAUAUUGAUAUAUACUAAUAUUAAUUUCAACAUUACCAGUAUAUAAUAUUAAUUGUUUUUUAUUUAGUAGUAGUUAGUAAAUAUAUGCAUAAUUAAUUUUGGUACCAUGUUUAAAUAUUUAAAUUAUAUAUAAGAAAAUUCAAUUUUUAAUUUCAUUGAGAAAUAGUUAUAUAUUUUACUAAACUUAAAAAAAUAUUUAAUAUUUAAAAUAAAAUAAAAUAUAUUCCUAAAUUCAUCUAUAUUCGAGAUGUUCAUAGAGAAAACCAUUCAGAAUAUGGUGCAGAAAAGCCUCCUGCCAAUGAAUCAACUACACCAACAAGGAAGGGUGGUAGAUCUACAAGAUGUCUUCAAUCGCUUCCCUGUCGAUUAACAUAUGUUCUAUUCUUGUAUAUGAUCGUAACUUGCUGCAAUCGAGAAGGCUUUUAACGAAGCAGAAGAGUUCUACAGAGAUAUAUAGUUCCAUUUAUCAAGGUAACGUUCUUCUUUCAAAUGAAGAUGGUGGCAUGCAGCUGUUAUUUUGUGCAAUUACCAUGUCCAAGUGGUGGAAGGUUGUGUUUCUUAUGAAAGAUGGUUUCAAGGUAAUAAAUAUAAUUUUGACGUGAGAAUUCGGAUCUCAAAAGUACAAAAAUGUGUAGAAGCAAUGUGUUUCGUAGGUGUAUUUGAGUAUAGUUAAGAUGCAUUUGGCUUGAGAAAAUAAUCCUUUAUUAUUGUUUGUACCAUAUAUAUAGCAUUUAACGGUGACCACAGUAUGUCGGAAUGACUUGAGCCUAUCAAUUUUGGCUGUCGCUCCCGAAUGCGUUAAUAUUCUCUGCCAAACGGUGCCCCACGUUAUGUUGGGAUGCAUGACUUUACCAUAUCGAGAAUAACCACUCAAGUUAUCCAAUAGAUAACCAAGUUUACAUGGGAGACGGACACCAAUAAUAGUAAAUACUAAAUACGACAACAUGGCCAAAUGUUUUUUUGAGAAAAUAUACAACACGAU
Molecule: long non-coding RNA, 3047 nt
Filed under: Glycine max (soybean)
Lineage: Eukaryota; Viridiplantae; Streptophyta; Magnoliopsida; Fabales; Fabaceae
Description: long non-coding RNA (GMAX_LNC000932)
Source: RNAcentral